GAUGAACGCUGGCGGCGUGCUUAACACAUGCAAGUCGAACGGAGAGCUCAUGACAGAGGAUUCGUCCAAUGGAUUGGGUUUCUUAGUGGCGGACGGGUGAGUAACGCGUGAGGAACCUGCCUCGGAGUGGGGAAUAACAGUCCGAAAGGACUGCUAAUACCGCAUAAUGCAGCUGUGUCGCAUGACACUGGCUGCCAAAGAUUUAUCGCUCUGAGAUGGCCUCGCGUCUGAUUAGCUGGUUGGCGGGGUAACGGCCCACCAAGGCGACGAUCAGUAGCCGGACUGAGAGGUUGGCCGGCCACAUUGGGACUGAGACACGGCCCAGACUCCUACGGGAGGCAGCAGUGGGGAAUAUUGGGCAAUGGGCGCAAGCCUGACCCAGCAACGCCGCGUGAAGGAUGAAGGCUUUCGGGUUGUAAACUUCUUUUAUCAGGGACGAACAAAUGACGGUACCUGAUGAAUAAGCCACGGCUAACUACGUGCCAGCAGCCGCGGUAAUACGUAGGUGGCAAGCGUUAUCCGGAUUUACUGGGUGUAAAGGGCGUGUAGGCGGGACUGCAAGUCAGGUGUGAAAACCACGGGCUCAACCUGUGGCCUGCAUUUGAAACUGUAGUUCUUGAGUGCUGGAGAGGCAAUCGGAAUUCCGUGUGUAG
Molecule: ribosomal RNA, 653 nt
Filed under: uncultured bacterium
Lineage: Bacteria
Description: bacterial SSU rRNA
Rfam family: Bacterial small subunit ribosomal RNA
Source: RNAcentral